UUACAGUUUAUGCAAUUUCUACAAAACAGAUUUUCAAUGCUCUCCCAUUUUUUUGCUACCGAUGCUUGGACGACGAGAUAUUUCAUGGGU
RNAcentral lists this unclassified non-coding RNA (90 nucleotides) under Komagataella phaffii CBS 7435. Lineage: Eukaryota; Fungi; Ascomycota; Pichiomycetes; Pichiales; Pichiaceae. The record is from RNAcentral.